UCUGUCUUAGUGGCGGACGGGUGAGUAACGCGUGGGCAACCUGCCCUGUACCGGGGGAUAACACUUAGAAAUAGGUGCUAAUACCGCAUAAUAGGGAAUACCGCAUGGUAAUCCUUUGAAAACUCCGGUGGUACGGGAUGGGCCCGCGUCUGAUUAGCCAGUUGGCGGGGUAACGGCCCACCAAAGCGACGAUCAGCAGCCGGCCUGAGAGGGUGGACGGCCACACUGGGACUGAGACACGGCCCAGACUCCUACGGGAGGCAGCAG
This 267-nucleotide ribosomal RNA is filed under the name uncultured bacterium. RNAcentral's name for it is "partial 16S ribosomal RNA". It matches the Rfam family "Bacterial small subunit ribosomal RNA", at positions 86 to 354 of the family's 1533-position model. The record is from RNAcentral.